GAUGAAGAACGUAGCGAAAUGCGAUAAGUAAUAUGAAUUGCAGAAUUCAGUGAAUCAUCGAAUCUUUGAACGCAUCUUGCGCUCCUUGGUAUUCUGAGGAGCAUGCCUGUUUGAGUGUCAUUAAAUUCUCAACUACACUGACUUUGAAUUGGUGUGGCUUGGAUUUGGGGGGAAAAUUGUUGUGGGCUUUUUGUAUAGUCUGCUCCCCUGAAAUUGAUUAGCGGUACCUUUGUGGAACUGUCUACAGGUGUGAUAAUUAUCUACAUCUUAGACAUCUGCUGGAAUGCUGCUUUCUAAACCUUACUUGUAUUGACAAUCUUGACCUCAAAUCAGGUAGGACUACCCGCUGAACUUAAGCAUAUCAAUAAGCGGAGGA
RNAcentral lists this unclassified non-coding RNA (376 nucleotides) under soil metagenome. Its description in RNAcentral is "partial contains 5.8S ribosomal RNA, internal transcribed spacer 2, and large subunit ribosomal RNA". The stretch from base 1 to 120 matches the Rfam family "5.8S ribosomal RNA", at positions 35 to 154 of the family's 154-position model. The record is from RNAcentral.